This 75-nucleotide transfer RNA is filed under the name Pseudacidobacterium ailaaui. Its description in RNAcentral is "Acidobacterium ailaaui (wood decay metagenome) tRNA-Arg". It matches the Rfam family "tRNA". Rfam says of the family: Transfer RNA (tRNA) molecules are approximately 80 nucleotides in length. Their secondary structure includes four short double-helical elements and three loops (D, anti-codon, and T loops). The record is from RNAcentral. Lineage: Bacteria; Pseudomonadati; Acidobacteriota; Terriglobia; Terriglobales; Acidobacteriaceae.
GUGCCCGUAACUCAGUGGAUAGAGUGGCAGCCUUCUAAGCUGCAAACAUGGGUUCGAAUCCCAUCGGGCAUUCCA